Molecule: long non-coding RNA, 4306 nt
Organism: Corythoichthys intestinalis (scribbled pipefish)
Lineage: Eukaryota; Metazoa; Chordata; Actinopteri; Syngnathiformes; Syngnathidae
Exons: 3
Source: RefSeq, a predicted model, not a curated record
UUCCGCCUACCUGCCUGGUGUGAGCGUGCGUUCGUUCGUGCUCGCGACCCCGGUAGCGGCGCGUACUUCAGAGCGCGUGUUCGCGUAACAGAGCGGAGGAGCAAAGAUAGCGUACUCGCGCCGUGAUAUUCCCACGAAGCUUACCUGUCUGUACGUGCGCGUCCACGUCCCGAAUCCAGACGCCUCGGCGAGCUAGCUUAGCUUUGCCUAGCUUAGCGCAGGAGGCUAGCUAGCUCGUGUGGCGUCGCAGGAGGCUAGUGGACUAGCCGUCAAGUUUGUUCGCCAAAUCCCUCUUUUCGACGCUCAUUGUGUCCACGAGGAACAACGAGGCGGCGCCGUCCCAGUGUUUUAAAUCAGGGCAGCUUAACACUUCCGGUCGGCGUCACGUUUAAUUACGCUAACUCGGCGAAUCAAUUACAGCUAGCUUCUCGAGGACACUGAGCUCGCUUGGUAAAAAACAGAGCGUUGCACAAUGACAAGCUGGAAAGGUCCGUGACGUCACCGCCCUUCCGAGAGCCUCACAGCCCGCUCCUCCUCCUCUUGGGGAGAAUGACGUCACCGGGAAAUGUUUAGCCUCUCGCCGUGCGUUUCUCCCUCCGCCAUCUUGGAAAGCAAUGCAACGGCAUCCCCUGAGUGCUUGAACGUCCAUGGAAGAGGUCAACAUUGAUUUUCUGAGAAGCCGUCUAGGUCAAAGGUGGUGUUGAGGAGGCGUUGCAGCUCCGUCAGAACGCUGCAGCCAGAGUCCUUACAAACCAGGGGCAUUACCGGGGGGGCACCCACAGACACGCUCUGCCCGCCCAAAGAAAACUGGAUGUAGUACUAACGGCGGUCUGGGCACCGCGUAUGGUAUCCCAUUCAUAUAGUACUGAUGUGUUACCUUUGCAUUGUUACCUCCUCUUUCACCAUAAAAAAAAAAAAAAAAAAAAAAAAAUGAAAUGUUGGUUUCGUUCAUAGGGGGCGCUACACACAUUUACGCAUAUUUUUAUUUUUUAAAUUUUUUUUUUUUUUACAUUUUAAUCAAAGUUUUCACCAGUGUUCACCUGGCUGUUGAGUUUGGUGAGUUUUGAAGCAUUCUGAGGGGAUCAAAGUAGGGUUCAAAGCGUCGGCGGGACAAAGAAUGACUGCUAGGGGUUGCUUGGCGCUACAUAGUGUAUUUGGAAUUUGUCUUUACACGUAUCAAAGAUUGCAUCUGUCUUGACCUGCCUGCCGAUUUUGGUGCAUUUUGAAGCAUUCUAAAGGGGUCAAAUUGAGCUCAAAGGGGCUGCGGAACAAAUAAUAACUAUAAUGAUAAUAAUAAAACCGAGGAACCACAAUAGGUUACCUAAAAAAACAUUGUCACCUGCAUGUCCAUUAGUGUUGUAUCGGUCGCGAACGAUUCGUUCUUUUUGAACGAAUUGUUUGGGUGAACGAGACCGAACUAAUCACCAUCUGCACUGAUUCGUUCUAUGAAGUUGGUGCUUGUUCACUGCGUGGGAGGGCGUUGAGCAAGCGGCAGCGUCUUCUGACAUCGCACACGACCAAUCAGACGCCAGCCUCAUCGCGGGCAGGGGAGGGACCGGAAACAGAAUCAGGGCGUAUGUCACUCACUUCCACGUGUGGCCAAUAAGCAGCUAGCGUGCAGGCAAGGGGGCAAGACUGAGUUUUGUCACUUCCCGUUCAGUGACUCGGUCCUCCGGUUCCUGACCUAGCUUGCUGCUAACGUGACUUUCCAGUAAUGACUGCGGUGAACGAAUCAAAAAAUGAAAGGAAAGGACUUUGUCACAUAUUUGUUAACGUGGAGCCUAUCAAAUGCAGCUCAAAAAGACCAAAACACCACACAAAUCUAGCGAGCAUGGUUUAGUGUACUACUUUUCUCAACAGACUCGGGACUACCUAUUACGACAUACUAUCAAAUUUACAGUAAUUUAAAACACGGGUAGCUACGAGGCAAGCAAAAGCUGAGCUGCGGUCGCGUGACGGCAAUGAAGGGGGCAAAGAACUGUCACUAUAUGGAGGCUUCAUGGCAGCGAUAUUUACCUCAUAUAUGCACAGAAAAAAAGAAUAUUUAGUAUGAUCACCAUAAUACUGAUUUGCAAUGAAACGGUAUAUACAUGUCCAUUUUUUCCAAGUGUUUUAUUAUUUUUUUUCCGUGUCAGGUGUUGGUUGGUUUGACAAAUUAUGUCAAUCCGUCCAUCAUGUGCUACUCAAGCGCCCCACAACAACGCACAUGGACACGGGAGAUGUCGCAAUAUGUUUACAUUUUUCUUAACAGACUAAUGAGAGUAGAAAGGCGAUAUCGUAAAGAGCAAACAAUUAUUUCUCGUCAGCAUUUGACGAUCUGAGAUGCGGGGACGACAGGGGAGCUGACCGGAUUAUUUUAUUUAUUAAUACCAGUGCAAAAAUUCAGUACGAUCACCAUAAUACUGAUUUGCAAUGAAACUGUAUAUACAUGUCAAUUUUUUCCGAGUGUUUUAUUUUUUUUUCUGUGUCAGGUGUUGGUUGGUUUGACAAAUUAUGUCAAUCCGUCCAUCAUGCGCUACUCAAGCGCCCCAAAACAAGGCACGCGGACACGGGAGAUGUCGCAAUAUGUCUACAUUUUUCUUAACAGACUAAUGAGGGUAGAAAGGUGACAUCGUAAAGAGCAAACAAUCAUUUCUCGUCAACAUUUGACGAUCUGAGAUGCGGGGACGACAGGGGAGCUGACCGGAUUAUUUUAUUUAUUAAUGCCAGUGCAAAAAUCCAAUACGAUCAUCUUGAUACUGAUUUGCAAUUAAACUGUCAAAUAUCAAAAUGCAGUAUUGUCUUUAUUUCAGAGCAGCACAUUCGACAACUAGCUAUUUACACUUAUAGUUUUAACAAUAGUGACUAAAAAUAAUAGUGAUGAGCAUAAAAACAAAAAUACAACAGAGCGAGAGGUAAAUAUGAUGUGUUGGUCGUUCCAUAUUUAGAAAUUAAACUUUCGAUUUAUUUUUAUUUUCGUGACAGCAAGCAUGCUGCGUUGGCUGGUAGCAGGCUAGCAGCAGCAUUGUAUAUGUGAUCAAGAACAUGCUAAAGAAAGUCCGUGCGCCCCCGACCCCAAACCCCCACUCCUCCCACAAAAGGAAAAUGUUUAACCGUGUCCUAAAUCGAAAUGCAAGCACGAGCCAUGACUUUGAACCCAUAGAACUAGGACAGACAACGCGGAAGUUCUCCCUCGCUUUUGCAGCAGCGGGAGGGAGGGAGACGAGGCUGUCUGUGAAAGCAGAAUGAUAUUGCCUGUCACUCAUUACUGAAACUACGACGAGCGGUCAAUGAGGAGCCUGUCUGCAAGAGAGAGGGAGGGACCAAGAAUGUCACUUCCCGUUCAGUUAUACUGCGAAGCGGUCUUUGGUGAUUCGUUCGGCAACGUCACUUCCCGUUCAGUAACCGAACGAUUCAUUUGGGCGGGGAGGGAGAUGAGGGGGGCGAACGAUUCGUUGAACGAUUCGUUUGAACGAAUCUUUUUACUGAACGAGCCGGAAUGGAUUCGUUUACUCAAGUGAACGACAGAUCCCGUCACUAAUGUCCAUACUGUUCAGUUAUGGAUGUGUUCUAAGUCAAAUAUAAUCAAACCAACUUUUAUUUAUUUAGACCAAAUCACAAAAACAAUUAUCUCAAGGAGAAAACAAAACAUGUUUUACAGUGCAGUAGCCCUACGCUGGAUUUCGACCUACUUGAGUAUUGUAGCUUUUUUAUUUAUUUAUUUAUGUUUGCCCCUCCCCCCUCCCCCGGGUAAGACUAAUGCCCACCCACACCUGGCAUCCUGGUAACACCACUGUAAAUACAAACCAUAUUACACUGGUCAAGAAAUCAUUGCAAUGGCGUCCAGUGAGUCAAAGAAUAGACUAAGGGUUUGGGUCAAGACUAGGAUUAGGUACUUGAGUAAAGUGUUAGAUGAUGUUGAUGCCUUACCAAAUCGGUCGUGCGUGGCCAACUGUGGUCUGCAUUCGGGGCUUGAUGUAUUCGUAGUAUCCCUGAUUCUUGUGCUCUUCCUGACACCAGACCACGGUCGCCUGGGCGUAGCGUUCCAUUUCAGUUCGUACCAGAUCAAACGGGAAGGGUGACAGCUGCGGGGACCAGUCAUAUGUUUAGAACGCAACCACGACAAGGGACGGAUAAGCCUCAAAACAAGUUUAAGUCUUUUUAGGGCACUCAUUCAAUCCAUUGACUGCCAUUGAUGGCGCUAGAUUUCCAAUCCAUUUUGAUUGUGGAGGGUGAAUGAAUGGAUUGGAUGUGUUGCACUAUCAGUGGUGCUGAAACAUGACAAUCCUUUCAGUUUAAAUUAAUUGACUGACUGUCAACGGCAGGC